Copidosoma floridanum is the source of this 874-nucleotide long non-coding RNA. Lineage: Eukaryota; Metazoa; Arthropoda; Insecta; Hymenoptera; Encyrtidae. The record is from RefSeq and is a predicted model, not a curated record.
CUGGGGAUAAAGGAGAGAUGAUUAGCGCUAAUGUCGGGGACAGCUUCUAAAAUUCAUCGCCUCAUGCAUUAAGCCUUAAAAAAGCCUUAUUUGAACUUUGAGACAACAACUCAUUCUGAUCGCUGAUUGUAUAGCCCAGAUAAUAUACUUAUCUACAAUGCACCGCCGUAAGAGAGCACUGAAAACUGAGAAACUGAGUAUACAACCUAAGAACGGGUAUUACCGCUCAGUUCUACUUCGACAGCUUUCCUCCCAGCACAACAUGGACUGGCUGGAGUAUCAGUGCACCUACAGUAGCUCAACAUAGCACCCGCGCCGCUUUCCUCUCUGGAGGGAAGGACAGUCGGAUAUUUUUUUUUUUUGACUCGAAGAGAGAAAGAGAGAGAUUAGAAAAAAAAGAAGCUGAUACAUCGUGCAGUUGUAUACCAUCGUAGUCGCGAGGAUGAAACUCGACGAGCAGCUGUUGUUCUUGUAGCCUAACGCCGAUAUACGUGUUGAGAGUUGGUGGGUAAACCGCGCGCAGAAGCCGACUCUUCGGGGACAUUGCACACUUUGCUCAUAAAUCAGAUCUCAAACUUCGCCCCACAAAGAAUUGCGGGGCUUAACAUUGCCUCCCUUUAGCUUUGGAGUACGUGUCUGGCGAAUGUAACGAGGCUGGCCCGUUUAAAGCAUCUCUUGCCUUAACGAAACCUACACACGAGGUGAGUCCAUGUUUUGUUGUUCUCUCUUUUCCUCUAUUGUACUUAUUAGUACAACCUACAAUGUCCUUAUACCUACCUGUCUACUACUCGUGAUCGUCGUACGUAUAAGAUAUGGUAUACAUAGAAGCAUGGCCAUGCCGUUUAUGGUUGCUGCUCCGAAAUUACGGGGUGUA